RNAcentral lists this long non-coding RNA (2775 nucleotides) under Capsicum annuum. Its description in RNAcentral is "long non-coding RNA (CANN_LNC011703)". Lineage: Eukaryota; Viridiplantae; Streptophyta; Magnoliopsida; Solanales; Solanaceae. The record is from RNAcentral.
UGAUAAUGGUCAACGGGGCCUAUACAUGGACCCCAUGCUUACAAAAAAGCACAGCUGACGUUACACCUUCAAGUAAAAUCAAGAAAAGCAAAAAGCCCAAUACACUUUUCCCCUCUCACACACUCCCAUCUCGAUCUGACUUUGCUACAAACAUAGAAAACCAAAAAAACUCAAUUGGCACAGUGAAAUAAAAAUAAACAGGUGGGUGAUUAGGUAUGUUAAUUAUGUGUAGGGGUGUUUGUUUGGUAGUUAGUUAAUUAUUGUGAAUGGGAAAAAAUAUCUUUUUGAUCUAAUCUUGAUUUUCUCUUUGGUGAAAUUUCAGCUUCCUUUUUUUUUUUUGAGUUGGGAAUUGCCAUUUGACUCUAUGAGCAAAGAAAGGCCACCAGAGCCUCUGGAUUUCUUUAUUUGGACUGUUGAGGUAAUGAGAUUCUUCACUAAUUUUGAUUCAUCCAUAUUCCAGAUCUCGGGAGUAGCUUUGAUACCAUGAUUUUGUAAUGGAGUUUUAUGAUUACUGGAUGUAGAAUUUUGUUGUUUCUUUCUGUGGCUCUUUCGUCUCUCUACCUACAUGAUUUAGUGGUAAGGCUUGCGUACACUCUACACACUCUACACUCGCUGACCCCACUUGUGGGAUUUCACCGGGUAUAUUGUUGUAUUGUUUGUAUUUUUUCUGUGUCUCACUGUUGUAGUUGUUGUAUAUGAUGGGUUUCUCUUGAUAAUCUGAUGAUUUGUAGGUGACAUAAGUUCAAAAAAUGCAAUUUGUUCAUCGUUUUUUUGCUCUUAUUGUUGAACUUUUGAGUUUGGUCUGUAUAAGGAAUAUGAUAAUUCUGCUAAUGCAUAUACAUUUGGGGACUGAUGUACAGAAUUCUAUAGGUUGGUUACUGGUGAAGGGAGUGAAAGAGAGUCUAUGUUCUUAAAGACAACUUCAAUCCUGAGUGUCCUUAAAGUACGUAAAUAUAUAUAUGUUUUUCAUCGAGUUAGAUAAAUUUUGAUACUUUUGAUUGAGAUGGAAUAACAAAAUAUGAUGAUAAAAUAAGUAUGGUUUUAUUUAUAUGCAAAAUAAGUAGAGGUAUGUUGUUGUUGUUGUUGCAAAAUAAAUAGAGGUAACUUUUUCCUUAUUCCCGUUAAGCUUGUAUCAAGUUCUACUAGAAGUGUAGUAAGAAAAUCUUGAAAGAAAGAGAGAUGAGAAAAUAUUGGAGAACUGAAUGUUGGGAAACACUAUUUUGAAAUUCCUCUUGGAGAAUUAGUGAGAUAUUCUUCUAGCUAUUUUAUUUUUAUCAAAAAAAUUCUCUUGGCUAUUUUAUGGGUUAACUAGAGUGUUGUCUCUAAUGUUUUGUUGUCAUUAUACACUUGAGAAUUGAUAUAGUAGGAUUACUCCUCCUAGUCCGUGAGGCAUGUUGGCUGGACCACGAAAAUCUCCAUCUCUAUGUUAUUUGUUGUCCUAUUCAGUCCAAAGAAUUAGUUAAUCCUGUCCAUGUUAUAGACAGACGAAUCAUAAGAACAUCACUGAAAGGGUAUACAAUAAGAUGAAAUGACCACAAAGAAAAUGAAGCGAAAUGCACAACAAGCCACAGUAAAGGAACACUUAAUGAAGUUCCCAAAGGUGUGGCGUUGUGGUCAAUGAAGUGGGUUGAGGAUCAUGAGGUCUCAGGUUCAAAACCCCAACGGAGGCAAACACACCAGGUGAUUCUUCCCAUCAAUCCAACUUCCAAGCCUUAAUGGAUAGAGUUACCCGGUACUAGUUUUGGUGGAAGGUUGUAAGCAAAACAUGAAAUUAGUCGAUGUGCAUGCAAGGUAGCCAAGACACCACAGUUGUUAAAAAAACAAAACACUUACUGCUUUGGAAAGUAAUGAAAUCUUUUCUAGCUCCUCUCCUACAUAAAAUAGCAAAGUCAUCCAUCCAUUGUGCGACGUUUAAGGAUUGAAGGCUUUUGUAUUAUUUAAAAGUAUAUAGGUUGUUCACUUCACGACUCUCUUUAUGGAUCCAUUUAUAUGACCAUGGCUGAUUAGCAACUUCAUUUAAGGUUGAUGUGUGGGCAUACUAGGUGUGAUAGGAUCAAGAAUGAACUUAUUUGAGAUAAGGUGGGAGUUGCCUCCGUGGUGGAUAAGAUGAAAGAAGCGAGAUUGAGAUGGUUUGGACAUGUAGUGAGGUUAGGUGCAGAUGUCCUUGUGAGGAGGUGUGAGAGGUUCGAUAUAGUAGGUAUGAGGAGGUGUAGAGUUAGGCCAAAAAAGUAUUAGGUAGAGGUUAUUAGACUAGACAUUGUGCAUAUUCAGAUUACUGAGGACAUGAACUUAGAUAGGAGGAUGUGGAGGACGCGUAUUAUAGUAUAAGGUUAGUUGGGUAGGAGUGUUGUCGUACACUAUAUGGUAGCUUAUGGUUAUAGUAGCUUAUGAUAUCUAUCAUUGUUAUUGUUAUAGUGUUUUGAUUAUCGCACUAUUUUUGUGAUGAUUAUUGUUAUUCUUGGUAGAUUUUGCAUUGUUCCCUUGUUAACUGCUAUAUUUUCUUUAUUGUUUUCCUUUUCUUUGUACUUAAAUUUGCUACACUUGAAUCUAAGGUCUUUCGAAUCAACCUCUCUACCUCCCGAGGUAGUGGUAAGGUCUGCAUAUACUUUACCUUCCCAGACCUCACGUGUAGGAUUAUACUAGGUAUGUUGUUAUUUAUCCCAUAUAGUACAUAUUGUAGCUAGCGGGACCUUUUUUCCUUUUGCACACAAAGGCAGAGCUAGGAUUUGAAGUGAUUAAAGAACGUGUAUCGAUAUUCAACAUAUUUUUAAAAAG